This 505-nucleotide ribosomal RNA is filed under the name uncultured bacterium. Its description in RNAcentral is "partial 16S ribosomal RNA". It matches the Rfam family "Bacterial small subunit ribosomal RNA", at positions 28 to 507 of the family's 1533-position model. The record is from RNAcentral.
GACGAACGCUGGCGGCGUGCCUAAUACAUGCAAGUAGAACGCACGGUUUAUACCGUAGCUUGCUACACCAUAGACUGUGAGUUGCGAACGGGUGAGUAACGCGUAGGUAACCUGCCUGGUAGCGGGGGAUAACUAUUGGAAACGAUAGCUAAUACCGCAUAAUAUUAAUUAUUGCAUGAUAAUUAAUUGAAAGGUGCAAUUGCACCACUACCAGAUGGACCUGCGUUGUAUUAGCUAGUAGGUGAGGUAACGGCUCACCUAGGCGACGAUACAUAGCCGACCUGAGAGGGUGAUCGGCCACACUGGGACUGAGACACGGCCCAGACUCCUACGGGAGGCAGCAGUAGGGAAUCUUCGGCAAUAGACGAAAGUCUGACCGAGCAACGCCGCGUGAGGGAAGAAGGUUUUCGGAUCGUAAAGCUCUGUUGUAAGAGAAGAACGGGUGUGAGAGUGGAAAGUUCACACUGUGACGGUAUCUUACCAGAAAGGGACGGCUAACUACGUG